Molecule: ribosomal RNA, 301 nt
Filed under: uncultured bacterium
Lineage: Bacteria
Description: partial 16S ribosomal RNA
Rfam family: Bacterial small subunit ribosomal RNA
Source: RNAcentral
CAGCAGCCGCGGGAAUACAGAGGGUGCGAGCGUUAAUCGGAUUUACUGGGCGUAAAGCGUGCGUAGGCGGCUAAUUGAGUCGGAUGUGAAAUCCCCGAGCUUAACUUGGGAAUUGCAUUCGAUACUGGUUAGCUAGAGUGUGGGAGAGGAUGGUAGAAUUCCAGGUGUAGCGGUGAAAUGCGUAGAGAUCUGGAGGAAUACCGAUGGCGAAGGCAGCCAUCUGGCCUAACACUGACGCUGAGGUACGAAAGCAUGGGGAGCAAACAGGAUUAGAUACCAGUAGUCCCUGUCUCUUAUACAC